GUCAGGACUCAGUCAGCAGGGCCGUGCAGCUUGCUGCUGGCUCUGCUGCCUCCACUCUCUCCACAGGUGUUCGUGGUUAACGGGUGGGCGGAGUGCACACACCUGCAGACACUCCAGCAGCACCAGGCCGCACUAUAAGAACCGUGCUCGAACAGAGGGAGGAUGCCAGAGUGUUACCUUGUCGCGUGCACUCGUGUCUUUGGAACCCUUCUCUCGUGUGACUCUGCGCUGUGAAGACCAGGCUCCCGAAUCCACAACCGCUCAGAUUCUGCUCUGGCGAUCUCCUCCUCAAACUCCCUUGGUGGUACCAAGUUGGGCGCGAGCUUCCCCUCCCCCGGAUUCACCCUGGUUGCCUCGGACUCUCCUGGUUCCUUCCUCUGUUCAUUCCGGAUCCCUGGACCCGCCGGUGCUGCUCGGACCCCAUCCGCCUCCGCCCACAGUUCUCCCGGACGCCUGUCACCACCUCCGCAGGACGGGCUGAGUCCACACCACUACCUCCCCGGUUCGGUUCCCGUGCUCUGUGACUGACCCUGUCUCCAGACUUCGGUUCCCCGCUGCUUCCCCGAUCUGCGGCGACAGAUCUUCCUCGUGAUCCCGCGUUUCUGUUAAAUAAAACUCUUGUGAUCU
Long non-coding RNA from Fundulus heteroclitus (mummichog), 627 nucleotides. RefSeq lists it as uncharacterized. The record is from RefSeq and is a predicted model, not a curated record. The transcript has 3 exons. NCBI's taxonomy places the organism in Eukaryota, Metazoa, Chordata, Actinopteri, Cyprinodontiformes, Fundulidae.